CCACGGGGGGCAGCAGUGGGGAAUAUUGGACAAUGGGGGCAACCCUGAUCCAGCCAUGCCGCGUGUGUGAAGAAGGCCCUCGGGUUGUAAAGCACUUUCAGUGAGGAAGAACGCCUGGUGGUUAAUACCCAUCAGGAAAGACAUCACUCACAGAAGAAGCACCGGCUAACUCCGUGCCAGCAGCCGCGGUAAUACGGAGGGUGCGAGCGUUAAUCGGAAUUACUGGGCGUAAAGCGCGCGUAGGUGGCUUGAUAAGCCGGUUGUGAAAGCCCCGGGCUCAACCUGGGAACGGCAUCCGGAACUGUCAAGCUAGAGUGCAGGAGAGGAAGGUAGAAUUCCCGGUGUAGCGGUGAAAUGCGUAGAGAUCGGGAGGAAUACCAGUGGCGAAGGCGGCCUUCUGGACUGACACUGACACUGAGGUGCGAAAGCGUGGGUAGCAAACAGGAUUAGAUACCCGUGUAGUC
This 464-nucleotide ribosomal RNA is filed under the name Vreelandella stevensii. Its description in RNAcentral is "partial 16S ribosomal RNA". It matches the Rfam family "Bacterial small subunit ribosomal RNA", at positions 339 to 795 of the family's 1533-position model. Lineage: Bacteria; Pseudomonadati; Pseudomonadota; Gammaproteobacteria; Oceanospirillales; Halomonadaceae. The record is from RNAcentral.